This 2921-nucleotide ribosomal RNA is filed under the name Bacillus thuringiensis serovar kurstaki. Its description in RNAcentral is "bacterial LSU rRNA". It matches the Rfam family "Bacterial large subunit ribosomal RNA". The record is from RNAcentral. Lineage: Bacteria; Bacillati; Bacillota; Bacilli; Caryophanales; Bacillaceae.
UUAAGUUAGAAAGGGCGCACGGUGGAUGCCUUGACACUAGGAGUCGAUGAAGGACGGGACUAACGCCGAUAUGCUUCGGGGAGCUGUAAGUAAGCUUUGAUCCGAAGAUUUCCGAAUGGGGAAACCCACCAUACGUAAUGGUAUGGUAUCCUUAUCUGAAUACAUAGGGUAAGGAAGACAGACCCAGGGAACUGAAACAUCUAAGUACCUGGAGGAAGAGAAAGCAAAUGCGAUUUCCUGAGUAGCGGCGAGCGAAACGGAACAUAGCCCAAACCAAGAGGCUUGCCUCUUGGGGUUGUAGGACAUUCUAUACGGAGUUACAAAGGAACGAGGUAGACGAAGCGACCUGGAAAGGUCCGUCGUAGAGGGUAACAACCCCGUAGUCGAAACUUCGUUCUCUCUUGAAUGUAUCCUGAGUACGGCGGAACACGUGAAAUUCCGUCGGAAUCUGGGAGGACCAUCUCCCAAGGCUAAAUACUCCCUAGUGAUCGAUAGUGAACCAGUACCGUGAGGGAAAGGUGAAAAGCACCCCGGAAGGGGAGUGAAAGAGAUCCUGAAACCGUGUGCCUACAAAUAGUCAGAGCCCGUUAACGGGUGAUGGCGUGCCUUUUGUAGAAUGAACCGGCGAGUUACGAUCCCGUGCGAGGUUAAGCUGAAGAGGCGGAGCCGCAGCGAAAGCGAGUCUGAAUAGGGCGUUUAGUACGUGGUCGUAGACCCGAAACCAGGUGAUCUACCCAUGUCCAGGGUGAAGUUCAGGUAACACUGAAUGGAGGCCCGAACCCACGCACGUUGAAAAGUGCGGGGAUGAGGUGUGGGUAGCGGAGAAAUUCCAAUCGAACCUGGAGAUAGCUGGUUCUCCCCGAAAUAGCUUUAGGGCUAGCCUUAAGUGUAAGAGUCUUGGAGGUAGAGCACUGAUUGGACUAGGGGUCCUCAUCGGAUUACCGAAUUCAGUCAAACUCCGAAUGCCAAUGACUUAUCCUUAGGAGUCAGACUGCGAGUGAUAAGAUCCGUAGUCAAAAGGGAAACAGCCCAGACCGCCAGCUAAGGUCCCAAAGUGUGUAUUAAGUGGAAAAGGAUGUGGAGUUGCUUAGACAACUAGGAUGUUGGCUUAGAAGCAGCCACCAUUUAAAGAGUGCGUAAUAGCUCACUAGUCGAGUGACUCUGCGCCGAAAAUGUACCGGGGCUAAAUACACCACCGAAGCUGCGGAUUGAUACCGAAUGGUAUCAGUGGUAGGGGAGCGUUCUAAGGACAGUGAAGUCAGACCGUAAGGACUGGUGGAGUGCUUAGAAGUGAGAAUGCCGGUAUGAGUAGCGAAAGACGGGUGAGAAUCCCGUCCACCGAAUGCCUAAGGUUUCCUGAGGAAGGCUCGUCCGCUCAGGGUUAGUCAGGACCUAAGCCGAGGCCGACAGGCGUAGGCGAUGGACAACAGGUUGAUAUUCCUGUACCACCUCUUUAUCGUUUGAGCAAUGGAGGGACGCAGAAGGAUAGAAGAAGCGUGCGAUUGGUUGUGCACGUCCAAGCAGUUAGGCUGAUAAGUAGGCAAAUCCGCUUAUCAUAAAGGCUGAGCUGUGAUGGGGAAGCUCCUUAUGGAGCGAAGUCUUUGAUUCCCCGCUGCCAAGAAAAGCUUCUAGCGAGAUAAAAGGUGCCUGUACCGCAAACCGACACAGGUAGGCGAGGAGAGAAUCCUAAGGUGUGCGAGAGAACUCUGGUUAAGGAACUCGGCAAAAUGACCCCGUAACUUCGGGAGAAGGGGUGCUUUCUUAACGGAAAGCCGCAGUGAAUAGGCCCAAGCGACUGUUUAGCAAAAACACAGCUCUCUGCGAAGCCGUAAGGCGAAGUAUAGGGGGUGACACCUGCCCGGUGCUGGAAGGUUAAGGAGAGGGGUUAGCGUAAGCGAAGCUCUGAACUGAAGCCCCAGUAAACGGCGGCCGUAACUAUAACGGUCCUAAGGUAGCGAAAUUCCUUGUCGGGUAAGUUCCGACCCGCACGAAAGGUGUAACGAUUUGGGCACUGUCUCAACCAGAGACUCGGUGAAAUUAUAGUACCUGUGAAGAUGCAGGUUACCCGCGACAGGACGGAAAGACCCCGUGGAGCUUUACUGUAGCCUGAUAUUGAAUUUUGGUACAGUUUGUACAGGAUAGGCGGGAGCCAUUGAAACCGGAGCGCUAGCUUCGGUGGAGGCGCUGGUGGGAUACCGCCCUGACUGUAUUGAAAUUCUAACCUACGGGUCUUAUCGACCCGGGAGACAGUGUCAGGUGGGCAGUUUGACUGGGGCGGUCGCCUCCUAAAGUGUAACGGAGGCGCCCAAAGGUUCCCUCAGAAUGGUUGGAAAUCAUUCGUAGAGUGCAAAGGCAUAAGGGAGCUUGACUGCGAGACCUACAAGUCGAGCAGGGACGAAAGUCGGGCUUAGUGAUCCGGUGGUUCCGCAUGGAAGGGCCAUCGCUCAACGGAUAAAAGCUACCCCGGGGAUAACAGGCUUAUCUCCCCCAAGAGUCCACAUCGACGGGGAGGUUUGGCACCUCGAUGUCGGCUCAUCGCAUCCUGGGGCUGUAGUCGGUCCCAAGGGUUGGGCUGUUCGCCCAUUAAAGCGGUACGCGAGCUGGGUUCAGAACGUCGUGAGACAGUUCGGUCCCUAUCCGUCGUGGGCGUAGGAAAUUUGAGAGGAGCUGUCCUUAGUACGAGAGGACCGGGAUGGACGCACCGCUGGUGUACCAGUUGUUCUGCCAAGGGCAUAGCUGGGUAGCUAUGUGCGGAAGGGAUAAGUGCUGAAAGCAUCUAAGCAUGAAGCCCCCCUCAAGAUGAGAUUUCCCAUAGCGUAAGCUAGUAAGAUUCCUGAAAGAUGAUCAGGUUGAUAGGUUCGAGGUGGAAGCAUGGUGACAUGUGGAGCUGACGAAUACUAAUAGAUCGAGGACUUAACCAU